Molecule: ribosomal RNA, 298 nt
Filed under: uncultured bacterium
Lineage: Bacteria
Description: partial 16S ribosomal RNA
Rfam family: Bacterial small subunit ribosomal RNA
Source: RNAcentral
GACGAACGCUGGCGGCGUGCUUAACACAUGCAAGUCGAGCGGUAAGGCCCUUUCGGGGUACGACGAGCGGCGAACGGGUGGAGUAACACGUGGGUGACCUCGCCCUCCAGCUCUGGGAGUAAGCCGUCGGGAAACCGGGGUACUAAUACUGGAUAUGACUCCAUGACGCAUGUUGGUGGGGUGGAAAGCCUUGUGCGGCUGAGGAUGGGCCCGCGGCCUAUCAGCUUGUUGGGUGGGGUGAGGCCUACCAAGGCGACGACGGGUAGCCGGCCUGAGAGGGCGACCGGCCACACUGGGA